RNAcentral lists this ribosomal RNA (253 nucleotides) under uncultured bacterium. Its description in RNAcentral is "partial 16S ribosomal RNA". It matches the Rfam family "Bacterial small subunit ribosomal RNA", at positions 524 to 776 of the family's 1533-position model. The record is from RNAcentral.
GACGGAGGAUGCAAGUGUUAUCCGGAAUCACUGGGCGUAAAGCGUCUGUAGGUGGUUUAAUAAGUCAACUGUUAAAUCUUGAGGCUCAACCUCAAAAUCGCAGUCGAAACUAUUAGGCUAGAGUAUAGUAGGGGUAAACGGAAUUCCUGGUGUAGCGGUGAAAUGCGCAGAUAUCAGGAGGAACACCGGUGGCGAAGGCGGUUCUCUGGGCCAUUACUGACGCUGAGGAGCGAAAGCGUGGGGAGCGAACAGG